Molecule: ribosomal RNA, 924 nt
Filed under: Sarcophaga bidentata
Lineage: Eukaryota; Metazoa; Arthropoda; Insecta; Diptera; Sarcophagidae
Description: eukaryotic LSU rRNA
Rfam family: Eukaryotic large subunit ribosomal RNA
Source: RNAcentral
AUGUGAGAUGCAGUGUAUGGAAUGUCAAAUUUCUAGUAUGAGAAAUUAACGAUUUAAGUCCUUCUUAAAUGAGGCCAUUUACCCACAGAGGGUGCCAGGCCCGUAUAACGUUAAUGAUUACUAGAUGGCAUUUCCAAAGAGUCGUGUUGCUUGAUAGUGCAGCACUAAGUGGGUGGUAAACUCCAUCUAAAACUAAAUAUAACCAUGAGACCGAUAGUAAACAAGUACCGUGAGGGAAAGUUGAAAAGAACUCUGAAUAGAGAGUUAAAUAGUACGUGAAACUGCUUAGAGGUUAAGCCCGAUGAACCUGAAUAUCCAUUAUAGAAAAUUCAUCAUUAUGAUUUUAAUAUUAAUAAUAUUAUAAUAAUGGUGUGCAUUUUUUCUAUAAAGGACAUUGUAAUCUAUUAACAUAAAUAUAUUUAUCAUAAGAUCAAUGAUGCGUAAGUUUAUUCAAAUUAUUUUGCUUGCAAUUUAACAUAGAAUAAAUGCUCUUGAUUUGAUAAAGUGUUGAUAGAUUUAUUGUAUAUAGUGCUUAAAUAUUUAUAUUUUAUAAUAGCAUAUUAAUCAUUGAUUUUUAUGUUUAUUAUAUGCACUUAUAUGAUUAACAAUGCGAAAGAUUCAGGAUACCUUCGGGACCCGUCUUGAAACACGGACCAAGGAGUCUAACAUAUUUGCAAGUUAUUGGGUAUUAAAACCUAAUAGCGAAAUUAACAUAACUUUAAUGGGAUUAGUUUUUAGAUUAUUUAUAGUCUAUUAAUUCAAUCCCGGGGCGUUCUAUAUAGUUAUGUAUAAUAAUAUUUAUAUUAUUUAUACCUCUAACUAGAGCGUACCUUGAGCAUAUAUGCUGUGACCCGAAAGAUGGUGAACUAUACUUGAUCAGGUUGAAGUCAGGGGAAACCCUGAUGGAAGACCGAAACAGUUCUG